UACGGAGGGGGCUAGCGUUGUUCGGAAUUACUGGGCGUAAAGCGCGCGUAGGCGGCUUUGCAAGUUAGAGGUGAAAGCCCGGGGCUCAACUCCGGAAUUGCCUUUAAAACUGCAUCGCUAGAAUUGUGGAGAGGUAAGUGGAAUUCCGAGUGUAGAGGUGAAAUUCGUAGAUAUUCGGAAGAACACCAGUGGCGAAGGCGACUUACUGGACACAUAUUGACGCUGAGGUGCGAAAGCGUGGGGAGCAAACAGG
This 253-nucleotide ribosomal RNA is filed under the name uncultured bacterium. RNAcentral's name for it is "partial 16S ribosomal RNA". It matches the Rfam family "Bacterial small subunit ribosomal RNA", at positions 524 to 776 of the family's 1533-position model. The record is from RNAcentral.